This is a non-coding RNA of Sturnus vulgaris (Common starling), 307 nucleotides long. NCBI's taxonomy places the organism in Eukaryota, Metazoa, Chordata, Aves, Passeriformes, Sturnidae. The record is from RefSeq and is a predicted model, not a curated record.
UGACAACGGCCUUCACGGAGCGAACUGGGGGACAGAGGGGAACACUUCAGUGCAUGAAAACUUUCUGGUGAGAUAUUCCAAGAGGGAAGGACUGUCACCAGCUGGAGAUGGAACAGUUCCCAUGCCUGACCUGCCACAUGUCAACAGGACAGGGAGCCACUCACCUUGCCUCCCAAAUUCAGCCAAUGGCCCGUUCAUCUCCUGAAAUAAGGAAUUAAAACAGCUUGUGAUCACUUGUAUUUUAAUGUUAAUAGUAACGUUAUUACUGUGUGUGCAGAAUAAAAGCAAUGCCAAUGCCCUCACCUGA